ACGGUCCUAAGGUAGCGAAAUUCCUUGUCGGGUAAGUUCCGACCCGCACGAAUGGUGUAACGAUCUGGGCACUGUCUCAACUACCCACCCGGCGAAAUUGUAGUACCGGUGAAGAUGCCGGUUACCUGCGGCAAGACGGAAAGACCCCAUGGAGCUUUACUGUAGCCUGAUAUUGGGUUUCGGAAAUCUAUGUACAGGAUAGGCGGGAGACUAGGAAACAUGAGCGUCAGCUUGUGUGGAGUCGAUGUUGGGAUACCGCCCUUAGGUUUCUGGAAUUCUAACCUGCGGCCGUGAAUCCGGUCGGGGGACAUUGUCAGGUGGGCAGUUUGACUGGGGCGGUCGCCUCCGAAAAGGUAACGGAGGCGCUCAAAGGUUAGCUCAGCACGGACGGAAACCGUGCCUCUGAGUGUAAACGCAAAAGCUAGCCUAACUGCGAGGGUGACGGCCCGAGCAGUAACGAAAGUUGGAGUUAGUGAUCCGGCGGUAUGUGAAUGGAAAUGCCGUCGCUCAACGGAUAAAAGCUACCCUGGGGAUAACAGGCUGAUCUCCCCCAAGAGUCCACAUCGACGGGGAGGUUUGGCACCUCGAUGUCGGCUCAUCACAUCCUGGGGCUGUAUUCGGUCCCAAGGGUUCGGCUGUUCGCCGAUUAAAGUGGUACGCGAGCUGGGUUCAGAACGUCGCGAGACAGUUCGGUCCCUAUCUGUCGUGGGCGCAGGAUAUUUGAGGAGCUCUGUCCUUAGUACGAGAGGACCGGGAUGGACGUACCUCUGGUGCACCAGUUGUCAUGCCAAUGGCACGGCUGGGCAGCUAUGUACGGAACGGAUAAACGCUGAAAGCAUCUAAGCGUGAAGCCGACUCCAAGAUUAGAUAUCCCAUCGUAUAACGAGUAAGACCCCUUGAAGACUACGAGGUUGAUAGGCUGCGUGUGUAAGUGCCGUGAGGCAUUCAGCUUGGCAGUACUAAUAGGUCGAGGGCUUGACCAC
Molecule: ribosomal RNA, 983 nt
Filed under: human gut metagenome
Description: bacterial LSU rRNA
Rfam family: Bacterial large subunit ribosomal RNA
Source: RNAcentral